This 783-nucleotide long non-coding RNA is filed under the name Homo sapiens (human). RNAcentral's name for it is "HSALNT0321274". The record is from RNAcentral. Lineage: Eukaryota; Metazoa; Chordata; Mammalia; Primates; Hominidae.
GUCUGGUGUACUGGUAAUAUCUGGACUGGUUUAAUGGCUUGUUUCAUGGGAGAAGCGCUAAACUUUACCUCAACAUUUAUGUAAAGUUAAAGCUGCACAGAUUCUGAGUCUUGAAAGUUUAUUUCAAAGAAAAGACAAUGCCUGUGCCACAUAUUUGACUUGGUUUUAUAAAUAUUACGAAGCUCCAGGAAAUAUGAGCAGGAUCUCAAAUAUAUUCAACAAGGAGACACACGUUGAAGUAUUUUGCGGUGAAAUGUUAUGAUGUCUGCAAGGAACUCUCAAAUGGUUGAAGAAAAAUGUGUAUGUCAGAUAAAGAGGGAAGAGAGAAAGGGAGGAAGUACUGAACAUUUGAAGAGAGGAAGAGAUGAUAUGAAAUACUUAUAUACACUAAGUUGACUUGGAAAAUCUGUAUACGGAUGGUACCCACUUCCUUAAACAAAGUUCUACAUAAUUAUAAAGAUGAAAGAAACCCUAAAACUCACCAAGUCUAAUCCAGUUAUUUUAUAGGCAAAAACAUAGAGACUUGGAUAUUCUUUUUAAUUGAUAGGUUCAGAGUAGGGAAACAGAUAAUGUGGAGAAAAUAAGCAUGGUUUAAUGGCCAAAUAUAAAAACAGUACCAAUAAUAUAAACCAUUUAUUGGAAUCCUCCUACAUGGCAGUACUAUGCUAAGAACCUUGUAUACCUUAUCUCCUGUACUGAAAACUAACUAUAGAAAACUAUAUAAAGGUCUGCAUUUGUCCUCCAUUUUCCAUAUGAAUAAAAGAAGCUCAAAAAGUUUAGAUA